UGUCUCAACCUAACCAGACUGGGACCGCUUCACAACCGUUUUUUGGAGCCGGCACAGAGCUGUGACACGACAAUCUACUGUCAGCUGUUAUCAGAGGACGCA
Molecule: long non-coding RNA, 102 nt
Organism: Sander lucioperca (pikeperch)
Lineage: Eukaryota; Metazoa; Chordata; Actinopteri; Perciformes; Percidae
Exons: 3
Source: RefSeq, a predicted model, not a curated record